UACAGAGGGUGCAAGCGUUAAUCGGAAUUACUGGGCGUAAAGCGCGCGUAGGUGGUUUGUUAAGUUGGAUGUGAAAUCCCCGGGCUCAACCCUGGGAACUGCAUCCAAAACUGGCAAGCUAGAGUAUGGUAGAGGGUGGUGGAAUUUCCUGUGUAGCGGUGAAAUGCGUAGAUAUAGGAAGGAACACCAGUGGCGAAGGCGACUACCUGGCCUGUUCUUGACGCUGAGGCGCGAAAGCUAGGGGAGCAAACGGG
RNAcentral lists this ribosomal RNA (254 nucleotides) under uncultured bacterium. RNAcentral describes it as "partial 16S ribosomal RNA". It matches the Rfam family "Bacterial small subunit ribosomal RNA", at positions 524 to 776 of the family's 1533-position model. The record is from RNAcentral.